GGAUGCGAUCGUACAAGCUCGAAAGCACCGGAUCCCAUCAGAACUCCAAAAUUAAGCGUGCUUGGGCGAAUGAAGUACAAGGAUGUGUGACCUCCUUUGAAGUCCUUGUGUUGCAUCCU
Molecule: ribosomal RNA, 119 nt
Filed under: Oryza rufipogon (brownbeard rice)
Lineage: Eukaryota; Viridiplantae; Streptophyta; Magnoliopsida; Poales; Poaceae
Source: RNAcentral